RNAcentral lists this ribosomal RNA (278 nucleotides) under uncultured Pseudomonas sp. RNAcentral's name for it is "partial 16S ribosomal RNA". It matches the Rfam family "Bacterial small subunit ribosomal RNA", at positions 1107 to 1382 of the family's 1533-position model. Lineage: Bacteria; Pseudomonadati; Pseudomonadota; Gammaproteobacteria; Pseudomonadales; Pseudomonadaceae. The record is from RNAcentral.
GUCCUUAGUUACCAGCACGUUAUGGGUGGGCACUCUAAGGAGACUGCCGGUGACAAACCGGAGGAAGGGUGGGGAUGACGUCAAGUCAUCAUGGCCCUUACGGCCUGGGCUACACACGUGCUACAAUGGUCGGUACAAAGGGUUGCCAAGCCGCGAGGUGGAGCUAAUCCCAUAAAACCGAUCGUAGUCCGGAUCGCAGUCUGCAACUCGACUGCGUGAAGUCGGAAUCGCUAGUAAUCGUGAAUCAGAAUGUCACGGUGAAUACGUUCCCGGGCCUU